GUUUAUCAAAAACAUGUCUUUUUAAAUUAUAUAAAAAGUCUAACCUGCCCCCUGAAUUAUUUUAAAUGGCCGCAGUAUUUUAACUGUGCAAAGGUAGCAUAAUCAUUAGUCUUUUAAUUGAGGGCUAGAAUGAAUGGUUGGAUGAAAUAUAAACUGUUUCAUAAAAAUUUAUAAUAGAAUUUUAUUUUUUAGUUAAAAAGCUAAAAUUUUAUUAAAAGACGAGAAGACCCUAUAAAUCUUUAUAUUUUGUUGGGGUGAUAUUAAAAUUUGAUUAACUUUUAAUUAGCAAUUUACAUUAAUUAAUGAUUUAUUGAUCCAUAUAUUAUGAUUAUGAAUUUAAGUUACUUUAGGGAUAACAGCGUAAUUUUUUUUGAGAGUUCACAUUAAUAAAAAAGAUUGCGACCUCGAUGU
This 411-nucleotide ribosomal RNA is filed under the name Apocephalus sp. 627 JMH-2018. RNAcentral's name for it is "partial 16S ribosomal RNA". It matches the Rfam family "Bacterial large subunit ribosomal RNA", at positions 1802 to 2532 of the family's 2925-position model. Lineage: Eukaryota; Metazoa; Arthropoda; Insecta; Diptera; Phoridae. The record is from RNAcentral.